This 425-nucleotide ribosomal RNA is filed under the name uncultured bacterium. Its description in RNAcentral is "bacterial SSU rRNA". It matches the Rfam family "Bacterial small subunit ribosomal RNA", at positions 356 to 773 of the family's 1533-position model. The record is from RNAcentral.
AGGGAAUUUUCCACAAUGGACGAAAGUCUGAUGGAGCAACGCCGCGUGAACGAUGAAGGUCUUCGGAUUGUAAAGUUCUGUUGUCAGAGACGAACAAGUACCGUUCGAACAGGGCGGUACCUUGACGGUACCUGACGAGAAAGCCACGGCUAACUACGUGCCAGCAGCCGCGGUAAUACGUAGGUGGCAAGCGUUGUCCGGAAUUAUUGGGCGUAAAGCGCGCGCAGGCGGCUAUGUAAGUCUGGUGUUAAAGCCCGGGGCUCAACCCCGGUUCGCAUCGGAAACUGUGUAGCUUGAGUGCAGAAGAGGAAAGCGGUAUUCCACGUGUAGCGGUGAAAUGCGUAGAGAUGUGGAGGAACACCAGUGGCGAAGGCGGCUUUCUGGUCUGUAACUGACGCUGAGGCGCGAAAGCGUGGGGAGCAAAC